UACAGAGGUCUCAAGCGUUGUUCGGAUUCAUUGGGCGUAAAGGGUGCGUAGGCGGCGCGGUAAGUCGGGUGUGAAAUCUCGGAGCUUAACUCCGAAACUGCAUUCGAUACUGCCGUGCUUGAGGACUGGAGAGGAGACUGGAAUUUACGGUGUAGCAGUGAAAUGCGUAGAUAUCGUAAGGAAGACCAGUGGCGAAGGCGAAUCUCUGGACAGUUACUGACACUGGGGCACGAAGGCCAGGGGGAGCAAAACGGGG
RNAcentral lists this ribosomal RNA (256 nucleotides) under uncultured bacterium. Its description in RNAcentral is "partial 16S ribosomal RNA". It matches the Rfam family "Bacterial small subunit ribosomal RNA", at positions 524 to 778 of the family's 1533-position model. The record is from RNAcentral.